GGUGGAGUUCCCGAGCGGUUAAAGGGAGCAGACUGUAAAUUUGCCGUCUAACGACUUCGAAGGUUCGAAUCCUUCCUCCACCA
This 83-nucleotide transfer RNA is filed under the name Buchnera aphidicola (Sarucallis kahawaluokalani). RNAcentral describes it as "tRNA-Tyr". It matches the Rfam family "tRNA". Rfam says of the family: Transfer RNA (tRNA) molecules are approximately 80 nucleotides in length. Their secondary structure includes four short double-helical elements and three loops (D, anti-codon, and T loops). Further hydrogen bonds mediate the characteristic L-shaped molecular structure. tRNAs have two regions of fundamental functional importance: the anti-codon, which is responsible for specific mRNA codon recognition, and the 3' end, to which the tRNAs corresponding amino acid is attached (by aminoacyl-tRNA synthetases). tRNAs cope with the degeneracy of the genetic code in two manners: having more than one tRNA (with a specific anti-codon) for a particular amino acid; and 'wobble' base-pairing, i.e. permitting non-standard base-pairing at the 3rd anti-codon position. The record is from RNAcentral. Lineage: Bacteria; Pseudomonadati; Pseudomonadota; Gammaproteobacteria; Enterobacterales; Erwiniaceae.